Molecule: ribosomal RNA, 465 nt
Filed under: uncultured bacterium
Lineage: Bacteria
Description: partial 16S ribosomal RNA
Rfam family: Bacterial small subunit ribosomal RNA
Source: RNAcentral
GACGAACGCUGGCGGCGUGCUUAACACAUGCAAGUCGAACGGAAAGGCCCUGCUUUUGUGGGGUGCUCGAGUGGCGAACGGGGGAGUAACACGUGAGUAACCCGUCCUUGACUGUGGGAGAACUUCAGGAAACAGGGGCGAAUACCGGAUAGGAGCUCCUGCAGCACGGGGGGGAUUGGAAAGAUUCGGCGGUUGCGGAUUGGCUCGAGGCUUAUCAGCUGGUUGGUGGGGUCGUAGCGUACCAAGGCUUUGACGGGUAGCCAGCCUGAGAGGGUGACCGGCCACAUUCCGACUGAGAUCCGGCCCAGGCUCCUUCGCGCGGCAGCCGUGAGGAUUAUUGCGCAAUGCGCCGUAGCCUGAUACAGCCACGCCACCUGCAGGAUGACGGCCUUCGGGUGGUCAACCGCUUUCGUCUCUGAACCGUGCGUGACGGUAAUGGGUCAAAAAGCACCGGCUAACUACGUG